Molecule: ribosomal RNA, 643 nt
Filed under: Mantidactylus melanopleura
Lineage: Eukaryota; Metazoa; Chordata; Amphibia; Anura; Mantellidae
Description: partial 16S ribosomal RNA
Rfam family: Bacterial large subunit ribosomal RNA (bases 1-440)
Source: RNAcentral
CUAUCUUAGCAGUCUUAUCAGCAAGCGCAUUUCAGUUUGAACCCCCGAAACUAAGUGAGCUACUUCGAGGCAGUUUUAAGAACAACCCCAUCUCUGUUGCAAAAGAGUGGGAUGACCUCCAAGUAGGGGCGACAAACCUACCGCACUUAGAGAUAGCUGGUUACUCAAGAAAAGAAUUUAAGUUCAACCUAAAGUUUUCUAAUUACACAAAAAUACAAUAAAACUUUAGAGCUACUCAAAUAAGGCACAGCUUAUUUGAAAUAGGACCCAACCUACAACAUCGGGUAAUAUAAACAAGCAAGUAACAAGUGGGCCUAAGAGCAGCCACCCACAAAAAGCGUUAAGGCUUAAAAUUUAAACUGUAUUAAUACCACCCCCUACCCUAGAACCCCUCACCAAUAUUGAGUAAUUCCAUAAGCAUAUGGAAGCUAUUAUGCUAGAAUGAGUAACAAGAAAUAGCUUUUCUCCUAAAUGUAAGCUUAAGCCAUAAAAGACCAACUACCGGCAAUUAACGCAUAUGAAGACGCUACAGCAACCCAAACAAGAAAACCCUGUAUCAACUCACGUUAACCUUACACCAGAACAUUUAAGGAAAGAUUAAAAGAAAAAGAAGGAACUCGGCAAACCACCAACCCCGCCUGUU